GGACUACCGGGGUUUCUAAUCCCGUUUGCUCCCCUAGCUUUCGCGCCUCAGCGUCAGAAGAGGUCCAGCACGUCGCUUUCGCCACCGGCGUUCCUUCUGAUAUCAACGCAUUUCACCGCUCCACCAGAAGUUCCACAUGCCCCUACCUCCCUCGAGCCCACCAGUAUCGAAGGCACUUCUCCAGUUAAGCUGAAGUAUUUCACCCCCGACUUGAUGAGCCGCCUACGCGCCCUUUAAGCCCAGUGAUUCCGAACAACGUUCGCUCGGUUCGUCUUACCGCGGCUGCUGGCAC
RNAcentral lists this ribosomal RNA (292 nucleotides) under uncultured Planctomycetota bacterium. RNAcentral's name for it is "uncultured planctomycete partial 16S ribosomal RNA". The record is from RNAcentral. Lineage: Bacteria; Pseudomonadati; Planctomycetota.